Molecule: ribosomal RNA, 423 nt
Filed under: Burkholderia sp. 16(2014)
Lineage: Bacteria; Pseudomonadati; Pseudomonadota; Betaproteobacteria; Burkholderiales; Burkholderiaceae
Description: bacterial SSU rRNA
Rfam family: Bacterial small subunit ribosomal RNA
Source: RNAcentral
ACGGAGGGCGGCUAGAGCAGAGGACCAGCAUCAGAGGAACUGACCAGCAUGCCGCGUGAGUGAAGAAGGUCUUCGGGUUGUAAGCUCUUUUGUCCGGGAAAAAGACUUGGCUCUUGUAAAGUCCGGGGAUGACCGUACCAAAAAAUAAGCCCCGGCUAACUCCGUGCCCCCCGCCGCGGUAAUACGUAGGGUGCGAACGUUGAUCGGAAUUACUGGGCGGAAAGCGUGCCCAAGCGGUUUGCUAAAACCGAUGUGAAAUCCCCGGGCUCAACCUGGGAACUGCAUUGGAGACUGGCUAGGCUAGAGUAUGGCAGAGGGGGGUAGAAUUCCACGUGUAGCAGUGAAAUGCGUAAAGAUGUGGAGGAAUACCGAUGGCGAAGCAGCCCCCUGGGCCUAUACUGACGCUCAUGCACGAAAGCGUGG